GAGAGAGAGAGAGAGAGAGAGAGAGAUGCUAAUGUAGUUUGAAAUUAGUAAUUUACAUGAACUACUCCAAAAUAGCAUGCAAAUAUAAUAUUUCCAAGAGUGUUACCAUCACAUCUCUUUAGAAGUCCUGGGGUGUCUGUCACCUGAAAAUGCUGGAAGUCAAAAGCAAUAUGGCCCAUUAGAAUUCCCCUAGUUGUGAAAGGGUAAUUACAAACCUCAGGCUUCCCUGUUGAAAGUAUCCGAACCAAGGACGACUUUCCUACAUUAGGAGCUCCAACAAGACAAAGAGUUGGUGUUUCUAGAUCGACCACUGGCAUAGCCCGCAAAGUCUUGGCAAUGUUGAAUAAAGCAUCAACUGCCUUUCCUUCACGUUUAAAAGUUUCUUCAAGCUUUUCCAGACCCUCAUUCUCCAAAGCCUCUCGUUUCGUUAGAGACUUAGCACAUACUGAAGCGUGUUCCUUUCCAACAGACAACACCUUUUUCCUCAAAGCAUCUACUUUUCUCAACACCUGUCAAACCUUAGCUGAAUCUCUUCAUAAUUUCCAUCACCAAGAGUUAACUCAAUAAGUGACUGUUCAUAAGGAUGCAAAUAUCUCCUUUUAGGGAAGUUCUCCAAAUAUUCCCUUAACGGAACUGCCAAUUCUUUCAUCAAUGCAUCAAGUUGCUUUGCACCUUUAUUUCUCUCUCGCUUGGCAAUAUUAGCAAUGCCUUUUGUAGUAGGGACCCUCUUUGCCUUCCUCAAUGCUGAAUAAAGAAUAUCAACUGAUGGCAUCACCAUUGGUAGCUUUUGAAAUGCACCAACUGUUUCAAGUAUUUCUGGUGCUUUAUCUGUGGUUUUCUUCUGCUGUUGUUGUUUAGUCGUGGGAGUGGGUACGUAGCUUGCAUUCACAAUAUCAUACGUAACUGUCUGAAUACGUCUACAAAAGCAUGAAGUUGGGCAUUUUGUUAUUCCUGCCUUCACGAAUAGACCUGGAGAAAAAUUUGAGCUUCUUUGCAGAAAUUUGGUGGAGCUAAUCUGCCGUAGCGGCAAGAUACUUAAUGCUCUAGUCAUCUCUUCUAUAUCUCUGUGUCUGUCUCUCUUUUUUUUUUUUUUUUGAACCGUCCUCUGUCCUCCUUUCUCAAGUGGUUACGAAUUUUAUCUGUGAAAUUAAAAUCGCAGCAGUUUCACUUGCACUACC
RNAcentral lists this unclassified non-coding RNA (1178 nucleotides) under Hevea brasiliensis (rubber tree). The record is from RNAcentral. Lineage: Eukaryota; Viridiplantae; Streptophyta; Magnoliopsida; Malpighiales; Euphorbiaceae.